RNAcentral lists this ribosomal RNA (511 nucleotides) under uncultured archaeon. RNAcentral's name for it is "bacterial SSU rRNA". It matches the Rfam family "Archaeal small subunit ribosomal RNA", at positions 5 to 490 of the family's 1478-position model. The record is from RNAcentral.
CGGUUGAUCCCGCCGGACCCUACUGCUAUCGGGGUGGGACUAAGACAUGCGAGUUGAGCGUCUCCAAGCCAUGGUGGAGACGCAGCAUACGGCUCAGUAACACGUGGCUAACCUACCCUUAGGACGGGGACAACCCCGGGAAACUGGGGCUAAUACCAGAUAGGUAAGGAGGCCUGGAACGGUUCUUAGUCAAAAAGGCGUUGAAACCAUGCUUUUCGACGUCGCCUAAGGAUGGGGCCGCGUCCGAUCAGGUUGUUGGUGGGGUAAUGGCUCACCAAGCCUAUAACCGGUACGGGCCGUGAGAGCGGGAGCCCGGAGAUGGGCACUGAGACAAGGGCCCAGGCCCUACGGGGCGCAGCAGUCGCGAAAACUCCGCAAUGCGCGCAAGCGUGACGGGGCUACCCCGAGUGCCGUCCGCUGAGGAUGGCUUUUCCCCGGUGUAAUGAGCCGGGGGAAUAAGGAGAGGGCAAGACUGGUGUCAGCCGCCGCGGUAAUACCAGCUCUCCGAGUG